Molecule: long non-coding RNA, 3303 nt
Organism: Apis mellifera (honey bee)
Lineage: Eukaryota; Metazoa; Arthropoda; Insecta; Hymenoptera; Apidae
Exons: 2
Source: RefSeq, a predicted model, not a curated record
AAAGCAAAAUAAUAACUGGAGGGAAACGAGAAAAAGAAAAAUAAGAAAAAAAAAGGGAUGGAAUGAAGAAAGAGUGAGGGAAGUUAAAGAAGACGAGAUCCGUAUCGUAAAAGGGAAGGUGGCAAAGGGAAAGAACGACGUGGAGGAGAGGAGGCCGUUUAGAAAGAAAAAGAGGGAGUUAAAAUAAAAAAGAGUGGCAAAAAGAUAAAGGAAGGAUAAAAAAAGAAUCGAGGAAGAUUCCGCAUCGUAAAAAAGGAAAGGCUUGUAAACACGAGAGAAGAGAAAGAACGAUGUGGGAAAGGAGAUAAAUCAAGAGAAAAGGGUCGAAAAAAAUCAAAGCAAAAGAAAAAAAAAGAAGAAGAAAAAUAGGGAAGAAAAAGUCGACGAGGUUACGCGCGAUGUACGGGUUAACACGAGCGGGAACGUGCGUGAAUCUGCGUGCGCAUGCACACUUGCGAAGAGGUGUACGGGGGCCAUGAAUGUUGGCACAAGGGGUGGUAAGCUCGUGCCACGCACCAACACACGGUUGCAAGUUAAGCGGUUGGUCGCGAGCAUGCACUCGCGCCUGCAUGUAUACGUGUCCUCUCUAAGAGCUACCCCUCAAGUGAGAUAUGGAUCUUCCGCCUCGUUGAACAUACAGAACAGAACGUUACGUUACGUUACGCGCGGUGGGAAGGGGUUGCCAGUGAAUGUAAACCGCAAUACCGCCCCGCGGCGUCCACUCGACGCUGCACUAUUGAUAUGAACCACCUAUCUCCGCCCUGUCUUCCUCCUCGCCUUUCCGCCGUCGUGUCGUCGAAUCGUCAACGCGGCGCAUCCACCUUUUACACGGAGUUGUUGUUCACCUUGCGUUGAACAGCUUCACCUCAUCGUUCGAACAAUCAUCGUCGAAUAAGAUGAUAUGGUGUUGAGAUGUUUUCCGAUGACGGUUCUCUUUUUUUCAUCUAAAAAGAAGUUGGGAAUGAAAUUUAUAAUUUUAUUUAAAUGACGAAACGAAGAAAGAUUUCUUCUAUAAGAAGAGAGUACGAUGAUGUAAAGAGAUUGAUUCGUUUCCAUUCUUCGCUUUUGUUUUUACAUUCUCGAAGAUAGAAGGCGAGCAAACGGUUGGGUAACAACGAAAUUGAUUAAGAUAGUGGCGUUUGCAAACGAUAAACAGUAAUUGUCCGUCAAUAACGGAGACCGUGCACGGUUAUAUGCAUAAUCGUGUACCACUCUGUGCAUCUCUACGUAUAACAAUAAUAGGAUGUUAGGUUACGUCACGCGUAAUGGUUAGGGGUUAGCCGAGUGAAUGUAAACCGCAACCCUACCCCCAUGACGUUCAUGCAACAUUACUAUUAAUACGAUGCAACGUCCCAUUCGCUUUUCCAACGUGAAAUCGAACGGGCCUCGCUUCUCUCCCUCGACGAAAUUUAUGCGUUAUCUUAAGUCACGAAUUCACGAUCUCGUACUCUUUGCAUUUCGUGGAUCGUAAACGAGUUUUAGAAUUUAAUUACAGAUUAUCUUUUAAUUGAAGAGAAGGAAUUUGUUAUAAAUAUUUUAUCAUUCAUUUGCACAAAAGGCCUUGACAAACGAAUUAGAAAUAACUGGUGUAUGGAAAAAUUGAGAAAGAUAAAUAAAUAGAGCAACCAUGUCAUCCAGAAAUUCUCUAUGAAAUUUCGAAAAUAAAUUUUGAAAAUACUUCAUUCGUUCAACUUUCACUGUGAUCGAAUCAUUCUUAAUCCGAAGUUGCAAAACUCUAGAUUUUCAAACGUUCCACGAUCCACGAAGAAAAGAAAGAAAGGAGUGAAAAAAAUAAAAGGAAAAGGAAAAAAAAGAAAAUGAAGAGCCAUUGUCCGGAAUUCUUGGCAAAGUCGUUCCAUUCAAGAUCCCAGUUCAGGGAUAUCGAGGGAAUUCGAUGAAAUUAAUAGCAACCGGCUGUUCUUGAAUUAUCGUAUACUCGAGUGGCGCAACGCAGGGAUGAAUUAAAGCCCCUCUCCAUCCCCUUUAAGCGUCAGACAAAGCCUGAAGUUUAAGCAGGAUUCGUCCGGUCUACUACGAUGAAUACGGCGAUAUAAAUCAGCUUCGUUAUAGAAAGUGCAGCCGGAAACCCGCCUCUAAAAGAGAAUACUCGUAAUACAUAAUACAGUAGUCGAAUAUAGUAGCUUUCGCGCUUCCCUCGCGGUGAUUUCAAUUAAUUCGUGGACUUGUACACGAGUUGACCAAGAGGUUUAUAUAUAUAUAUACGAUUCAAAGUUUUGUUUUGAAGAUGGAAAUACCACGUCAAUUAAUCCUUAAUCGAAUUUGAGAUGAACAGGAUUCGAGGAUUUAUGAUGAAUGUUUGAAUCGAUCUGAAAAGUAAUUUAUUUUGUUUCACUUGUAUAAUUUGAAUACGUUCGAUUUCGAUUAUUUCCGGGAUGUUAAAAUCUUGCAGCGAAUCGUUUUCGUAUUUUAUUAUUAUUAUCGCGUCAUUAACGUAUCGGAUUUCGUCUCGUUUACGUUGUAAUUAGUGUAUUCGUCAAACCAAUGCCUACUCUAAUUUUGCGUGAAAAUAUAAAGUCGUGUGUGGCGUAGAAAGGCAGCGUUGGAUGAUGUGGAAAAGGGAACGCGGAUUAUGUAAUGUAUUUGAAACGUUUAUUAGCGAUUGAACUAUAGAUCCAUUGAAAUUGGCGGCUCAUUCACCGGACGCUAAUUUUAUCAACCAAUACCGAAGUUUCGGUUUUCAAUAUCAAAGUUCCCCGCUCUGUUAAUUAAUGAAAUUCGCCGUGCUUCGUUUUUUGAUCGUUCAAACGAGGUAAUAUUUUUUUCCUAAACUCGUCAAAGAUUUAUUUUCAUUCGAUCAUGUGUUCUCAUCUGUUUUUACAAAUUUAAUGAAAAAAAAGGAUGAAAUUUACUGAAAUUACAUAGGUAAUUUUAUUGUUGUCGAUACAAAAGAAUUUAAGAAUUAAGAAUUUAAUAAUGCAAAUGUAUAAAUAUAUAGAAAGAGAGAGAGAGAGAUCGAUAUACUGACAUAACUAUUGAAAGAUCUUUGGAACAUGCAUAAAUGCAAAUGUAUGGAGCACAGUGUACGGAGGUAUCUAUGGUUCGAUAAAUACAGUCCUAAAAUUGAGGAACUCGAUGUAGACAAUCAUGAAUACACGGAAUCGGAAUCCGACGAAUUUAAACCCUAUAGAACUCGAUACAAGCAAGCUACGGUUCAUGAGUUUCUACAUUCUGUGAAAUCUAGAAAUGCUAUUCAAGCGGCUGUAUGUAUUCGUAAGAGCUGAAUAACAUUACGUAAUAUUGAAUUUAUGAAUUUCAAAAUUAAAAUUUACCCUCAACAAUUGA